Long non-coding RNA from Peromyscus eremicus (cactus mouse), 1286 nucleotides. RefSeq lists it as uncharacterized. The record is from RefSeq and is a predicted model, not a curated record. Lineage: Eukaryota; Metazoa; Chordata; Mammalia; Rodentia; Cricetidae. The transcript has 2 exons.
AUUUUGAAUCCACGUACAAACUGCUAAGUAUUACCAUACAGUAAAGGAAAACAGCUAUCACCACAGUGCUUUUUCCCAACAACAUUUUUAUUGAGUGUGCUCUCCGUACUAGGCAACUGUGCACUACGAAUACAAUGAGGGAGAGCAUGACGACGUCCUCCAGUAGGAGAGGAGACGCCUUCUGAAGAAACGGAUCUCUUCUGACACCCACCGGAAUUUCAGUUUUUCCACAGAGCACUUUCUGAAGUCACUCUACGGUUUCUAGGCCAAGAGUUCAUUCUACUCAAACUUCCGUUUAAAAAGAGCUGGAGGACCUGUGUGUCAAGUGCUUUCCACAUAAGCCUGAUGACCUAAGUUCAAUCCCUGGAACCAGCUCCACAAAGUUGUCUUCUGACAUCCAUGUGCAUGCCUUCUCACACACCACACAAACACACCCCCCAACACUUGACUUUGAAAAAGUAGAUCAAAGGUUACUCAGGUAAAUAUUUAAUUCUGAGAUGAGGUAAUAAUCCUCACCUUUAAAGGAACAAAUACAACAUGCCAACUCUGAUGAUGUAAAGCAACUUAUCCAAAAUCAUGGCAAAUGGCUGAGACAUUCAAGGAUCUAGGUCUCUCACACCCAUGCCUUUUCACAAGAGGCCAUGACUGGUUAAGUUGGAAUUUACUUAGGCUCUGGAAAAACCAAACGCAAUCUAGGGAGUCUGUAUAAGGAAACAGGGAAGGAAUCCUAAAGAAAGAGAUUGGUAAGGCUGAUUCUGCUCAAGUCUCCGUUAAGCCAGGUUACAAACUGCUGGCCAAGGAACGGCAGAAGGAAACUGGAACAGAGUGUACAAAGUCCAAGGCCUGGGCCCUGAUUCCCAAGUGCAUCCCGCUCCAGCACCUGAAUGUCCUGCUGGAGCUCCAUUUCCAGAAGCACCCAGGGAGAGCCAACACAAGGGCACUUAUAGAAAGAGCUUCCCAACAGGAGAUCCCAGUACUAGACUAGUACUGUCUUUUCUUCACACCGAGGCAGCACAGGGUACAGACUCUACAACCUACUCCUCUGACAAGCAGGAAGUGGCUUGAGAGAAGGACAGCUGCAGGCUGUGUAGACAGCAGGGCAGCAGUUCACCAGUCUAGUUUCCUGUGAAGCGCAAAUGUGUACGGUGUCAAGACAAACACCCAGAAAGAAGUAUGAGAUGAGUACAUUUAUUCCAAAACAUUAACACAUUGAAAACAGUUCAACUUGUCCAAGCCAACUUCAUCCAUUCUUUAAUCUUUUAUUAAACACAAUGUACAACCCCAAA